CGCAGAUAGCGGAACUUCAGAACAGAUCGAGAAGAUAAGUUUGGAAAAGUAGAAAAUAAAGAUAAACUAAAGCGGGAAAUCCUUGCCGAAGGAGAGAGGAACAUUUUUGCCGAAUAACGCCCGUGUUAAUUUUAUCCAAACAUUGCGCGCAUUUAGGAUAUUCUGACUGGUUUUUUUAGUGUAAUCCUCAGGCUGAAUUGUUGCUGCUCAAGUCAUCAUCAAUCUACUGCUGAUUAACUAAUCAACUAAUGUCAUCUUUGACAUCUUCAUCAUCAGCGAAACCACUGUGUGGACGAUUCCAUAUGAAAGAAAGGAAGAAGGGGUAGUAUGAACUUCAGUGCACUCAUGAAAAAACAGGAAAACAAACAAGAGGCCUUAAUUCAUUCUGAUCACGUUUAUUAUAAUUUUUUGGACUCUUAAGUGUUGCAUUUUGUAAUAUUUUGUUUAUAGAUCUCAGUUUUAUUUCAAAUUAAAAUUUUGAGAAUUUUGUUUUGUUGCGCACAACAACAAAGGCGAAGUGGAACACGGUAAAAGCUGAUAACCACCACAAUUUAUUUUUGCAUACUUUCAAAGUUUCUCAAGACACAUUGGGCACAUACUAGUCUGAUACCUGCUUAUUAUUAAUCUAAAAUGAGAUUAAAGUUAUCUAGCUUUAAAUAGUUUUUUCUGAUUUCUUCACCAAAUGUGGAUGGCGGUUUGUUAUCUACCUGGGUUUCUUACUCUGCACCCAAGGUACAUUUCUGAAAUUUGAGUUAAAAUGUGUGUUUAAACAGGAAGCUGUGCAAAUGAUGGGGGAGAUGGACUCAAUCAAUUUGAUUGAAAACCUUUGUCCUGGGAGAGUCAUUUCCUUCUUGUGGCAAAAAAAGUGACAAUUCCAGUGUGCAUUCAGAAUAUGUAUGGUUGCAAUAAACUUCAUUCAAUUUAGGUUCAGGUAAAAUGUUGUACUAUGGUACUGGUUGUGUUUAAAGUGACACUGGAUAGCACACUUUUCUUGUAUGUUUUGUGUGGUACUGAAAACAAGUAUAACACAAAACCUCUCAUGGAGACACAUUCUUAUGGCCAAAUUGUCUUGAUUAUUACUUUUCAACAAACACACUUUGGGUACAUGUAGUGGAGCAUAGAAUUAGAAGUGGGCACCCCACCUUUGGUACCCCCACCAGUCUUUGUUCAAUAUAAAUUCAGUUCCUUCACAAUUCACUCCAAUGAUUAUUUCUUAUUUUGCUGUGUUGAAAAGUCAAAUUAAAGUAUAUUUACAUGG
This is a long non-coding RNA of Anguilla rostrata (American eel), 1258 nucleotides long. RefSeq lists it as uncharacterized. NCBI's taxonomy places the organism in Eukaryota, Metazoa, Chordata, Actinopteri, Anguilliformes, Anguillidae. The record is from RefSeq and is a predicted model, not a curated record. The transcript has 2 exons.